Molecule: long non-coding RNA, 613 nt
Organism: Columba livia (rock pigeon)
Lineage: Eukaryota; Metazoa; Chordata; Aves; Columbiformes; Columbidae
Exons: 4
Source: RefSeq, a predicted model, not a curated record
CACCAGUAACACAGUAUCACCAGUACAACAGUAUCACCAGUAUCACCAGUAUCACCCAGUACAACCAGUAUCACCAGUACAACCAGUAACACCAGUACAACCAGUAACACCGGUAUCAGCACCGGUGACACCAGUGACACCAGUAACUCCGGUAUCACCGGUGCCAACACCAGCAGCACCAGGGACGCCAGCGUGACCAGUAACACCAGUAUCACCAGUAAAGCCUCCAGCAACACCGCAACAGGCGCCGCCGUGGGGCAGGGGGGGCGCCGGACGGGCUCCACGGUGCUGGCGGUUCUGCUGCCCCUGGGGCUGCUGGCGCUGGCGGGCGCGGGCGCCCGGGGGCUCCGGCGGAGCUGGCGCCGCCGCGGCACCAACAGCAUCAGCUUCCACAACCCCGUGUUCCGGAAACAGCACGAGGACGAGGAGCCGCUGGGGGGCGCGCAGGGGGGCUUCCCCUGCCCCACGCGCCAGCCCCUGAACCCGGACAACAACGCGGCCUGAGGGGCAGAGUGGGGGCAGCGCCCCAUAGCCAGCCCCCCCAAACAACGGGAGCAACCGGGGCACCCCGAACCAGCGGGUGACACCGGCACCACCGGCUGACACCGGAACC